CGUGCAGCCGGGUCUGCAAGUCAGAUGUGAAAUCCAUGGGCUCAACCCAUGAACUGCAUUUGAAACUGUAGAUCUUGAGUGUCGGAGGGGCAAUCGGAAUUCCUAGUGUAGCGGUGAAAUGCGUAGAUAUUAGGAGGAACACCAGUGGCGAAGGCGGAUUGCUGGACGAUAACUGACGGUGAGGCGCGAAAGUGUGGGGAGCAAACA
This 207-nucleotide ribosomal RNA is filed under the name uncultured bacterium. RNAcentral describes it as "partial 16S ribosomal RNA". It matches the Rfam family "Bacterial small subunit ribosomal RNA", at positions 568 to 774 of the family's 1533-position model. The record is from RNAcentral.